This 1325-nucleotide long non-coding RNA is filed under the name Ursus thibetanus thibetanus. RNAcentral's name for it is "lncRNA (ENSUTTG00000010268.1)". The record is from RNAcentral. Lineage: Eukaryota; Metazoa; Chordata; Mammalia; Carnivora; Ursidae.
AUGUAUCUUUUUAGACGUCAAAAAGGAGGUCUGAUACACAUUUCUUCUCAACACUCCACAGCCUUGUCGGGGGCUCCUGGACCAAUGAUUUUGGCUCUGGCGUUGGCCAUGUUUGCCUUAGUUUUGAUUCUGUAUUCCUUCCUUUUUCUUGACCCCAGGCAGCCCCUUGUAGGGCAUUAUGCGGGGGCUCAGGAACCCCGGCUCCCCAGAUGGGCCUCUGACUUCCUUCUCUCCUGCAUCCUUUUCUUCUUCCAGCAGAGAGAAGGGGUGUUUGCCGAGCAGCCAAGAUACCGUGGAAAGGAUCGAGGUGCUGGGACCCUUGGCAGCAGCCUCCUGGGGGGGACCUAAACCCCCGUGCGAUGACUUGUUCUGCUUACGCCUCCAAAAGACCAGAGGAGAGGUUAACCUCUGAAAUUGUUAGCCAGAAUCGUGGUUUGUUUGGUUUUUCACGUUACAUUCUGUUGUGCCAACCAUGAGUUUUGUACAUUCUUUUUGUGCUGUUUCCUGAAUACGUUCCGAAGCUAAAUGCUGAUUAUACUUAGGUAUUUUAAGCAUCAAGAAAGAAUUUUACUGUAAACCUCAGUCUGGUUGUUCUCUUUAAAAUAAGGCUAUUACUUUUCUGUCCUCCUGAAUUUAAUUCAGUUUUCCAUACUAUUUAGGAUGACCAACUAUCCUGGUUUCCUUUGGGCUGGAGGGUUUUCUGGCUUGCAAGAUUUUAGGGCUAACACCAAAUAGUCCCAGGCCAAUUGGGACGGCUGGCCACCCUGAUACCUGUUCGCCCUAUUCGAUUUUUGCCCUUUAAUGUAGCCACCAGCCCAGAAGAGGAGAGAACGUACUCCCCAGUUAAAAGUCUUUGGGAUUGUACACGUUUCCUGACAUAAAUUUCUAUACCACCAGAUCCCUAUCCCCUGCCCUCGUCAAUCUUGCAAAAAAUCAAUUUGACUAAUCUCCCCCUUACCAAUCAGGCCUACCAAAGUCAAUAUAAUCACCAACUUCAAGCUAUCCUGCUCUAAAGUCAAAGCUAUAAUCCAGAUUUUAAGUUAACAUCUCUCAGGGAGGAAAUCUCCCAUGGAAAAAUACCAUGGAAAAAUCCAUGACUUUGACCACACAGAUACAUUCAUUAUGGCAAGGCUAUAAUCACAACACUGCCCGUCAGGGUUUCCAUUAUAAACGGGGUCUGAAUCUUGGUGGAGCGCAAUUCUUUCCAGCUGGAGUAAACCACGGACAGGUUUUCAGCCCAUUGGGGAUUUUUCUGAUUUGUUUACAAAUUGGCAAGGCUGGGGGUGGGGGAGGAGGGAAAGAGGGGGAAGCUGAGGCUGGGAAAG